This 76-nucleotide small RNA is filed under the name Salix viminalis (osier). Lineage: Eukaryota; Viridiplantae; Streptophyta; Magnoliopsida; Malpighiales; Salicaceae. The record is from RNAcentral.
UGACAUUUACGAUGACAAGUCCUCUUAACAUACUUAUUGGGUUGAUUCAGAUGCACCACCAUCUUCUUAAAUGACA